GACCAUUGUCAGGGCCAGCCCCUGGUUGUCUGCGAAGGACACCCGCUUUUUCACCUUCUUCUCCUGGACAGCCGGCGCCACCAUUCCACUGGCUUCAUUCUUGCUGCUCAGCUGAAUACAAGGCCUCAGUGGUUUGCUGGGCUUUGGUGAGAUCUUAAAGGCAAACCUCUCUCGGCGCAAGGAAGGAGCCAUGCAGUUGUAUCUGUACUCGAUGUCCACAGCCAUCAUGGGGCUAGAUGAACAGGCUAGAACCCUGGAAAGGGAAGAGAAGAAAGAAAACAGUGGAGCAAUCAGAUCAGACAGAUGUGUAAAGGCAUCAUUCCAGCAGGGACUGGCAAACAAUAUUUCCUUUUAUCUAUGCCCACAUGGCUACAGAGACAGGACUCGCUAUGUUGCCCAAGCUGGUCUCACACUCCUGGCUCAAUCCAUCCUCCUGCCUUGACCUCCCAAAGUGCUAGGAUUACAGGUCCACGUAUGCUCAGAUUCUCUUCUGCCUCUGCCGCCCCUGAGACAGCAAGACCAACCCCUUCUCCUCCUCUUCCUCCUCCUCAGCCUACUCAACGUGAAGAGGAUGAGAAUGACGACCUUUAUGAUGACCCACAUCCACUUAAUGAACAGUAAAUAUAUUUUCUCUUUCCUAUGAUUUUCUUAA
This 652-nucleotide non-coding RNA is filed under the name Pan troglodytes (chimpanzee). The record is from RNAcentral. Lineage: Eukaryota; Metazoa; Chordata; Mammalia; Primates; Hominidae.